RNAcentral lists this unclassified non-coding RNA (323 nucleotides) under Hevea brasiliensis (rubber tree). The record is from RNAcentral. Lineage: Eukaryota; Viridiplantae; Streptophyta; Magnoliopsida; Malpighiales; Euphorbiaceae.
GCAAGCCCGAGCCCACACCUGGCGAAAAACCCGAUUACUCUCGCCCUCUCGUCCCCGUCCACCGCAGCGCUCCCGCCGGUGGCGCAGUGGGCGGCGGCGCAGUGAAACAUCAUCCUGCCGCCCGGCGGUGGGAUGGGGACCGGGAGAGCCUGCCGGGAACGGAGAUGGAGCUGGUGGCGGAGGGAGGGAAUGAGGGGACAUUGGAAUCGUGGGAAACGGGGGAGAUGUGAGAAAUCGGUGCGGAUUAGGGGGCGAAUUGGGGAUGGGAGGAACGGGGUGGCUUGGAACAGCGGCAUGGUUAGGGUUUUGGAGAGAAGCCCUAG